Molecule: ribosomal RNA, 253 nt
Filed under: uncultured bacterium
Lineage: Bacteria
Description: partial 16S ribosomal RNA
Rfam family: Bacterial small subunit ribosomal RNA
Source: RNAcentral
UACGUAGGGUGCAAGCGUUAAUCGGAAUUACUGGGCGUAAAGCGUGCGCAGGCGGUUUUGUAAGUCUGUCGUGAAAGCCCCGGGCUCAACCUGGGAAUUGCGAUGGAGACUGCAAGGCUUGAAUCUGGCAGAUGGGGGUAGAAUUCCACGUGUAGCAGUGAAAUGCGUAGAGAUGUGGAGGAACACCGAUGGCGAAGGCAGCCCCCUGGGUCAAGAUUGACGCUCAUGCACGAAAGCGUGGGGAGCAAACAGG